This 207-nucleotide ribosomal RNA is filed under the name uncultured bacterium. RNAcentral's name for it is "partial 16S ribosomal RNA". It matches the Rfam family "Bacterial small subunit ribosomal RNA", at positions 568 to 774 of the family's 1533-position model. The record is from RNAcentral.
CGCGUAGGCGGUUAUAUAAGUCGGGUGUGAAAGCCCCGGGCUCAACCUGGGAACUGCAUUCGAUACUGUAUAACUAGAGUUUGGUAGAGGGAAGUGGAAUUCCACAUGUAGCGGUGAAAUGCGUAGAUAUGUGGAGGAACACCAGUGGCGAAGGCGACUUCCUGGACCAAAACUGACGCUGAGGUGCGAAAGCGUGGGUAGCAAACA